UAACACAAAUCGGCGACAAGAAAAUCCGACGAUGAGCGCCAGUGGGGUUCCAAUUUGUGUCCGCCCGCCAGUUUGUGUGUCACUAUCUUCUUCACGCUUCUGUGUUGAUAUCUUCUUCACUCGUCGUCCCUAGGUGGUGAUUUUGGUCAUUCUCGUGGAUAUGGUUAAGCUGUAUUCAGUUUGUGGUGAGUGGAUGCAAAACUUGUAGCUGGAAACUUCGUCAUGCGAAGUCAUUAUCGGUAGAAGAAGACUGGACUGAAGCCAAAAUAAAUUUUAGAAAGGAAUAGAAUGUCAUACGGUGUUCACACAUAUUAUAAAUAGGCAUGGAGAGUAAAAGAGGCAGCUGAACUUUUGGUUAGAGGUACUCCUAAUGACAGUUAUCACAACAUUGCAAAGUGGUUGUUUAUGACCAAGGAACAAAAUCAUGGUUCAGUUGUGUAUCUUGACGUUGAUCCUCUUAAUAAUAAAUUCAGGAAAAAUUCAAGGGAACUUUUCUUGUAGCUACAGCUCAAUAUGGGGAUUAUCAUCUAUACAUGUUAGCUUUUGCUAUUGUCGAUUCUGAAAAAGAAAAAUCUUGGAGCUGGUUUUUUAGAUGUCUUCAAACAAUCGUUCCUGAUUCAGCGGAUUUGGUGUUCGUUUCUGAUCGUGCUCCAUCAAUUACCAAUUGCUCUUUCAGAAUUGUAUCCAGCUUCCCACCAUGGUAUAUGCAUAUUUCAUCUUGGAAACAACAUGAAAGUAAAGUUAAGAGGACAGUCUUAUCUGCCACUUGUAGAAUCUACUGCUAAUGCUUAUACUCAGGUAGAGUUUUCAAAACAUUUCAGAGACAUAGAAGUUGCGAAUCUGUAUUUGACUAAGUAUUUGGAAGAAGAAGAUUUCAGAAAAUGGGGUCAAUCUUAUGCUCCUUCAAAUCGCUACAAUAUAAUGACUACUAACAUUGCUGAAUCUUUCAAUUCAUUGUUAAGUGAACCACGGGUGCUACUUAAUGGUUUCACCAGAGAUGUGCACUUUCUGCCAAGCACAACAAGCGUGUCACUCCUAAAGAGUCGAGAUGUUGGUAUCAAGAUUCUCAGAUGCUAUGAAGAUUGACGUCUUCCAAGUGGAUGAAGAUGAAUUCGAGGUGAAAGAUGAUGUGAACAAGUUCAUUGUUGAGGUAAAGAAAAGACAGUUUAGUUGUUGUGUCUUUGACAUUGAAAACAUAUCGUGCAUCCAUGGGAUUGCUGGAGCAAAGCGGUCCAAUAGGGAUGAGAAUGAGUUUGUUAAUGAUAGUCAUUUGACUUUUACUUGGGGCAAAGCUUAUUCUGAGAGCGUACACCCAAAUGGAGAUGUACAGAAUUGGAUUUUCCCUGAAUUGAUUAGCAAUUUCUUAUGUGGUCCUCGAGGGAGUAAGCUUAGUAGUGGAAGACCGCUAAAAAGCGAAUUCGCUUUAAGGGAGUGUUUGGCGUGCUGGGCUCAAAAUCACAAAGUCAAAAAUGCAGUAGAUAUGGACAAGGAGAUUAAGAAAAUGUCCUUAACAUUCAACAUACAAGUGAUAUAUCAUGGU
This is a long non-coding RNA of Capsella rubella, 1540 nucleotides long. RefSeq lists it as uncharacterized. The record is from RefSeq and is a predicted model, not a curated record. Lineage: Eukaryota; Viridiplantae; Streptophyta; Magnoliopsida; Brassicales; Brassicaceae. The transcript has 4 exons.